UGGAAGAUUGAAGUUUCGAAGUGUUACCCAGCUCGCGUGUUUUCGUCGGUUCAUCGUUACCCGAAUAGUUUUCAGUAAUUCCGUACCGGUUGAUCAUUCUUUUGGAGUUCGGUCGCGUGAUGGAUAGUCUACGUCAAGUUGUGGCGAUUCUCCUAGGCUCUGCAAAGGCCAAAGUUACAUUACGUUCAUGUUAUAGUUUUAACACAGGGGUUUUCAUUAAUUCAGUUUUUUCCCAUUAUGUCAAGGGUUCAUUGGUAUGGUUGGAUGAUUGUAAUGGCUUGUUGCAACAGAUUUCUUGGAACAGAGCUUUUUAAACUGUUUUUUUUAAUUUGGUUAGACUAAAUUGAUGGUUUUUAAGUAUAUCAUGUCAUGUUUCCUCAAACAUUUCUAGAAGAUUAAUAUCAAACUUACUGUAAUUUUGUGGACAGCUUUGAAUACCUGGCCUGAAAUGUCACUUUUAGCUUUAGUCAUUUAUAUAGCAUUUUUAUCCUGUUUUUCAAUUAGUUUAUGAAACUAUAGUAGUUGCAUUUAACCUGCAGUAUGAAUGUAGCUUUCAGGAUCAGAGAUCUGAUAGUCAGUUUAGCUUAAUAUUUAAUUUAAUAUUUAAUUUACAAUUUACUUGGGCGCCUCAGUGGCGUGAUCGGUAUGGUCUUGGCCUGCCACCUCCGUGGCCGUGAAUUAGAUUCCUGGGCAUUCCACAGAGGGGUUAGGGAUGUGUAUUUGUGGUGAUAGAAAUUCACCCUCAACGUGGUUCGGAAGUCACGUGAAGCCGUUGGUCCCGUUGCUGAAUAACCACUGGUUCCAUGCAACGUGAAAACGCCAUACAAACUAAAUACAAUUUACUUGAUAUGUGACAUCUAUACUUCGCUUGAGAAAGGUCAGUUCUCCAGCCAGGAAGUUUCUCUUUACUCAAAAACUUAAUUUCAUGAAGAAAGAAAUUGAGGUCAAAAUUCUCCCGCCUGAAAGUUUCUCGUACACUCAAAAACUCCCAAUGUAUGACUUAAGGUUGUGCAUUUGAGUAGUUGGGACUCCCGUUAUUAAAAACACUGGUGUUUCGUUGCUUUUACAACACUAUUUUGAGGUGAGGCAGGAGUCUGGUGUUACUGAUUUAGUGCACUUUUAUGCCAAAAGUUUUCUUGCUUUAAAAGGUGU
Macrobrachium nipponense is the source of this 1152-nucleotide long non-coding RNA. RefSeq lists it as uncharacterized. The transcript has 3 exons. NCBI's taxonomy places the organism in Eukaryota, Metazoa, Arthropoda, Malacostraca, Decapoda, Palaemonidae. The record is from RefSeq and is a predicted model, not a curated record.